GGCACAGGAGCCCUUCUUACAAUGGCUCCUGCUUCUUAGCAAUGAGUCAUCCUUGCCGCAUGUACAUACUGUGAGUUACGGAGACGAUGAAGACUCCCUCAGCAGUGUCUACAUCCAGAGAGUCAACACUGAGUUCAUGAAGGCUGCUGCUCGGGGUCUCACCCUCCUUUUUGCCUCAGGUGACACUGGAGCUGGGUGUUGGUCUGUCUCCGGAAGACACAAGUUCCGUCCUAGCUUCCCUGCUUCUAGGUAAGUACCCCACUCUUUCAUGUGUGACUUUGAUGCCACCAGGAGCUGCUAUGGCUCAGCCUUCAGCAUUACCUGUUGGGGUUCCUGUGCUCCCUUCCCUUUUCUUCCUGUAUAUCCCAGGCUGUGACAGCAGAAUAUGUUGUUUUGUUCCCUUAGUUGUUAGGGUUUGGUUUUUAGGCAGAAAAGUAUAUACAAUUAAUUCCAGCCAUGUCUUGAAGGCAUCCAGUCUGUCGGUACACAGGCUCCCAUAGUCUUACUCUCCUUUCCAGUAAGACCCAGACCGUACCCACUCACCUCCACACAUCUUGGACAUCACCCAUUGUCUUAGUCAGAGUUUUAUUGCUGUG
RNAcentral lists this long non-coding RNA (596 nucleotides) under Rattus norvegicus (Norway rat). RNAcentral's name for it is "long non-coding RNA NONRATT003042". The record is from RNAcentral. Lineage: Eukaryota; Metazoa; Chordata; Mammalia; Rodentia; Muridae.